RNAcentral lists this small nuclear RNA (23 nucleotides) under Arabidopsis thaliana (thale cress). Its description in RNAcentral is "snRNA_08989". Lineage: Eukaryota; Viridiplantae; Streptophyta; Magnoliopsida; Brassicales; Brassicaceae. The record is from RNAcentral.
AGAGCGAACGUAAAAACACUAAC